UACGUAGGGUGCGAGCGUUAAUCGGAAUUACUGGGCGUAAAGUGUGCGCAGGCGGCAGAGCAAGUCGAGUGUGAAAGCCCCGGGCUUAACUUGGGAAUUGCGCUCGAAACUACUUUGCUGGAGUAUGGCAGAGGAAGGUGGAAUUCCACGUGUAGCGGUGAAAUGCGUAGAGAUGUGGAGGAACACCAAUGGCGAAGGCAGCCUUCUGGGCCAACACUGACGCUCAUGCACGAAAGCGUGGGGAGCAAACAGG
This 253-nucleotide ribosomal RNA is filed under the name uncultured bacterium. RNAcentral's name for it is "partial 16S ribosomal RNA". It matches the Rfam family "Bacterial small subunit ribosomal RNA", at positions 524 to 776 of the family's 1533-position model. The record is from RNAcentral.